CCGAGAUCAUAAAUAAAUUCAGUUGAUUUUUUGAGAUCAUCAAUCAUAACCUAUAUGCUGGUUAUUUUUCAGACUCACAAUCAAUCCAGUUGGCUUUAUGGGCUCACCAAUCAAAAUCUAACAAGUCCAAUUUCAGACUUGGAUGGGUCUUAACUUCAAAUUUUUUUCUCCCAAAGAAACUUGAAAAGAAAACAAAAAUAUAAGAUGCAGAAUUUCAACAUAAAUAAAAAAAAAUAAACUUUUUUAAGCCCAAAAAAGUUGCUGAUGAAUUGCACAAAAGAUGCUUCAAGUUCUCUUGAAUGAUGCUU
Molecule: long non-coding RNA, 308 nt
Filed under: Elaeis guineensis (African oil palm)
Lineage: Eukaryota; Viridiplantae; Streptophyta; Magnoliopsida; Arecales; Arecaceae
Description: long non-coding RNA (EGUI_LNC056647)
Source: RNAcentral